AACUGGAUGAGCAAGCGAACGGUGAGUAACACGUGGGGAAUCUGCCUUUGAGCGGGGACAACAUUUGGAACGAAUGCUAAUACCGUAUAACAAUAGCAACCGCAUGGUUGCUACUUAAAAGAUGGUUCUGCUAUCACUAAGAGAUGGUCCCGCGGUGCAUUAGCUAGUUGGUAAGGUAAUGGCUUACCAAGGCGAUGAUGCAUAGCCGAGUUGAGAGACUGAUCGGCCACAAUGGGACUGAGACACGGCCCAUACUCC
RNAcentral lists this ribosomal RNA (258 nucleotides) under uncultured Weissella sp. RNAcentral's name for it is "partial 16S ribosomal RNA". It matches the Rfam family "Bacterial small subunit ribosomal RNA", at positions 105 to 339 of the family's 1533-position model. The record is from RNAcentral. Lineage: Bacteria; Bacillati; Bacillota; Bacilli; Lactobacillales; Lactobacillaceae.